UGAACCUGCAGAUGGAUCAUUAACACAUCCAUAUCAAACUAAACACAAUUAAUUCUAAAACCUCAGCGAUGGAUAUCUCGGCUCUCGUAACGAUGAAGAACGCAGCCAACUGCGAAAACCACUGCGAAUUGCAGAACCAUGAGUCAGUAGAUUUUUGAACGCAACCGGUGCCCUCUGGGCAUGUUUGGUUCAGUGCCUCUUUUGCUUUCAACUGCGAGUGCUGAGCUCUCGCUAAGCUUUCCUGUCUAGGGUCUGACAAGUUAGACUCAGGAUCUUCGAGUGCCUGAACUCAAGCAAGAUUACCCGCUGAACUUAAGCAUAUUACUAAGCGGAGGAAAAGAAACUAACAAGGAUUGUCUUAGUAACUGCGAGUGAACCGGCAAAAGCCCAGUCUGGAAAUCGCUUCGGCGAAUUGUACAGUUCAGACAUAAAUCUUAAGUCUAGUGCAGGCGUAACUUGGCUGGAACGCCAGACCGAAGAAGGUGAUAGUCCUGUGCCGCCUGUGCAAAGCGAAAGAUUGUGUUCCACGAGUCGGACAGUUUGGGAUUGCUGUCCUAAGUGGGAGGUAGACUUCUUCUAAGGCUAAAUACUGACGAGAGACCGAUAGCGAACAAGUACUGUGAAGGAAAGAUGAAAAGAACUUUGAAAAAAGGGUUAAAAUACUUGAAAUCGCUGUGGAGGAAGCUAUGAGCUCGGCUUUUUUGUGAGUGGAACUGCUGGCACGCUGGCAGGGGAGCUUGCAGGAAAACUCAGCAAGUGUUCUGAAUGUGUGCUCCGAAGCUGUUAGCUAGGUCAGCCACAUUUAAGGGCAUUUCCUGAGUAGCUGAGCCCAUUGA
Molecule: ribosomal RNA, 836 nt
Filed under: Stentor amethystinus
Lineage: Eukaryota; Ciliophora; Heterotrichea; Heterotrichida; Stentoridae
Description: eukaryotic LSU rRNA
Rfam family: Eukaryotic large subunit ribosomal RNA (bases 280-836)
Source: RNAcentral